UACGAAGGGGGCUAGCGUUGUUCGGAAUUACUGGGCGUAAAGCGCACGUAGGCGGAUUGACAAGUCAGGGGUGAAAUCCCGGGGCUCAACCUCGGAACUGCCUUUGAUACUGUUAGUCUAGAGUCCGGAAGAGGUGGGUGGAAUUCCUAGUGUAGAGGUGAAAUUCGCAGAUAUUAGGAAGAACACCGGUGGCGAAGGCGGCCCACUGGUCCGGUACUGACGCUGAGGUGCGAAAGCGUGGGGAGCAAACAGG
RNAcentral lists this ribosomal RNA (253 nucleotides) under bacterium. RNAcentral describes it as "partial 16S ribosomal RNA". It matches the Rfam family "Bacterial small subunit ribosomal RNA", at positions 524 to 776 of the family's 1533-position model. The record is from RNAcentral. RNAcentral also lists the same sequence under 1 other name.